AGUUAAACACAUAUUUUUAGUGAGAGCUUGUGAUCCAGCCACUGCACUGGGCACCGAGGACUCCAAGUGGAAGAUGAUGUCAUCCACAAUGGCAUCUCCAGGGGAAUCGAUUUUGAUGACUCCAAUCAAGGCAGGCGGGUCAAUGGCAGCGACCACUGAAGAUGCUAUGGCUUGAGAGGGAAGGAGAGAGGCAGCCACUGCCUGAGACAUGAAGAUUUUAGAAAAUGUUCUGCCCGUGUUGAGGCUUACGCAGAAACCACCCAGCAAGCAGGACCCUGGCCGGAUGUUCUUGUUUGACUGGUUUCUGACUAAACACUGAUCUGCUUCUUCAGUAUCUUCUGUCUGAAUAAAGGAAUAUUUAGAGUCUGACUCAAUGUGUUACUCAUAAAUCCUAAAAUCUCCAACUUAAAAAAUAUAUUUAGGAUGGAUCUUAAUUUAGCCCACUUUUUAAAAC
RNAcentral lists this long non-coding RNA (454 nucleotides) under Homo sapiens (human). RNAcentral describes it as "HSALNT0344663". Lineage: Eukaryota; Metazoa; Chordata; Mammalia; Primates; Hominidae. The record is from RNAcentral.